CGGAAGGUGAACCUGCGGAAGGAUCAUU
RNAcentral lists this ribosomal RNA (28 nucleotides) under fungal endophyte MUT 2723. Its description in RNAcentral is "partial 18S ribosomal RNA". Lineage: Eukaryota; Fungi; Ascomycota. The record is from RNAcentral.